CCAGGGAGAGCACUCUUUCCAGACGCUGUAUCUGCUUGUACCUUGGCCUUGGACUUAACAGCUUCUAGGACUGUGAACAAGAAGUACUCUCAGAUUAAGCCCUGGUUGAUUGCAGCUUUUAACAUCAGUGGGGACUGGCUGGGGUCUGUCUCAGGCCCUUUUGAGCAUUUUGUAACUCACUUUUGUUACAAUGGUUGUCUCUGAAGUCCUUGAGGGAACAGUUUGUGACUGAGCCACAUGUCCAUCCUCAGCUACACACAGAGCUCGUCUGUGAACACUGAUAUGACGGCAGGACUGUUCACAUCAGAGGAAAGCGGCUGGCCAGUCAUGGCAGUGUGGGAGCCCAUUGAGAGUGAGGGAAGCCUAGAGUGCUGUUAGCAUUAGAGCUCAUUCUGUUCCAAGCCUCAGGUUUCCCAUAUUUAAAUGAACUUAUUACGUCACUGUGGGUCCUAGGUCCUGUCAGCAUGCAACAGCCUGGGGUUGGAAGUUCUCUCUGCCUGGAGCACUUUGUUCCUCCUGCACUGCUUGGCUAUGCUCGACAGAGUUACUCUACCUUCCAAUUUCAACAUAAGGCUUCCUUCUUCCAGGGAACCUUCCUGUUCUCCUCUUCUCCUCUGCUUAGCUUUCGUGACCAAAACUCAGGCAGCAGCCGCCACAGCUUCCAGCCAGCCACACAGUUGGGAGACAAUGAACCAACAGACUCUACAAGCUGGUGGCAGGAAUUGGAAGGUGGUGGAACCUUUGAAAGAUGGUGGCAGCAGAGCAAGAAGAACAAAACCCUUGAAGAUCUGGACAGGUCUCUGCUGCCUGACCCACCAGAAUGGGAACGGCUUCUACCACCCAGCCCUGUGGCCGUGAAAUCUGACCUCCUGCUCUUCCUCCCCUGUCACAAUGGAUGAAACCAAGAACCAGAGUUGGCAGAGACUCUGUUCUUUACAACUAUUCAUCCAUCAGGCUACCAAAGACCCCACUGUCCCACGUUGUCUGGCUCCCAUAGUCUUCACAAUUACUGCAGAAGAAGGGAGGAGAGGAGAGGAAAGAACUAGGCACCAGCUUUUUAUGUCUCCAGCCAGAAAUGAUAGAGAUCACUUCUGUACACACUUUGUUGGCUAAAACUAACUGCUUGAUCCUAAUCCCACCCAGUUCCAAGGAAACAGAAGAGACAGCUUUCUACUCCCAAAAAGGACAGAAGGAAUGUGUCUUCUCAAGUACAGGCAAUACUGCCCAAGCCUGGCUUAUUUGUGCAUAUAAACCUACAGUUAACACCCUGCCAUUUGUCAUGGGUGUCCUUCCAUGGCUAUUUCUAUUUCUUGUAAGUAGCCAUAUAGCUUAUAGUUGUCAUUGUUAAGUCAAAUCGUGUUGUGCUAGAAUAAUUCCUUACCAUUUAAUGGCUAAUUAUGAGAUCAAUUUGAUUUUAUGAUAAAAUUUUAAGCAAAAGCUUUGCAUGGUUUUUGAAUUAUUGCAUUAUUAUCUUGUUUUACUUCAAAGAGAAAGUUUCUGUGAAAAGUGGGCAUACUAAAAAUGUUCCAUAUCCCUUUGCAAAACUCCCUUCGCUCUCCAGACCUAAAGAACCCUGAGGACGGUGGGACGCAUGCUCAUUUUCCUGUGCUGUUCUUAGGAUGGAAUAUUAAACACCCCUGCUAAUAAAAUUAAUACAAAAUUGUGCUUGUUUUAAUUGCUCUGUUGUCUUUAAUCACAAUAAAGAGAAAUACAAUGU
Molecule: long non-coding RNA, 1717 nt
Filed under: Mus musculus (house mouse)
Lineage: Eukaryota; Metazoa; Chordata; Mammalia; Rodentia; Muridae
Description: Riken cDNA A530021J07 gene
Source: RNAcentral